Molecule: small RNA, 28 nt
Filed under: Bombyx mori (domestic silkworm)
Lineage: Eukaryota; Metazoa; Arthropoda; Insecta; Lepidoptera; Bombycidae
Description: ovarian small RNA-20335
Source: RNAcentral
UACAGUGUGCCACGCUGUGACUAAACAU